AUAAAUUCUAAAAUUCUUCCCAGUAUUGCAGUUUAACAAUUAGUUUCAAAGAAACUGAUCUAGAAGGAACAUGAUUUUACAAAUGCAUUUGCUCUGGCUGCUGUUCUCUGUGUUUGGAGAAUCCAGUGGGCAGAUUGUUAUCACUCAGACACUUGCUUCUGUGAUGGUGCUUCCAGGAGAGACGGUCACCAUUCAGUGCAAGGUGUCCAGCUCCAUGAGUAAUGAUAUGAGUUUAUACCAGUUUAAAUCGCGACAAAAUCCCAAGCUCCUCAUUUAUGAUGUAACCAACCGGCAAACUGGAGUCCCCGAUCGGUUCAGUGGUAGAUACAGCAGCACUGACUUCACAUUCACCAUUACUGGGGUGCAUGUGGAAGAUGCAAGAGAAUACUAUUGUGGAUAAGACUACAGCUUUCC
Molecule: non-coding RNA, 414 nt
Organism: Dermochelys coriacea (leatherback sea turtle)
Lineage: Eukaryota; Metazoa; Chordata; Testudines; Dermochelyidae
Source: the annotation of a RefSeq genome assembly